CCUACGGGAGGCUGCAGUGGGGAAUAUUGCACAAUGGGGGAAACCCUGAUGCAGCGACGCCGCGUGAGUGAAGAAGUAUUUCGGUACGUAAAGCUCUAUCAUCAGGGAAGAAAAUGACGGUACCUGACUAAGAAGCCCCGGCUAACUACGUGCCAGCAGCCGCGGUAAUACGUAGGGGGCAAGCGUUAUCCGGAUUUACUGGGUGUAAAGGGAGCGUAGACGGCAGCGCAAGUCUGGAGUGAAAUCCCAUGGCUUAACCAUGGAACUGCUUUGGAAACUGUGCAGCUAGAGUGCAGGAGAGGUAAGCGGAAUUCCUAGUGUAGCGGUGAAAUGCGUAGAUAUUAGGAGGAACACCAGUGGCGAAGGCGGCUUACUGGACUGUAACUGACGUUGAGGCUCGAAAGCGUGGGGAGCAAACAGGAUUAGAUACCCUAGUAGUC
This 440-nucleotide ribosomal RNA is filed under the name uncultured bacterium. Its description in RNAcentral is "partial 16S ribosomal RNA". It matches the Rfam family "Bacterial small subunit ribosomal RNA", at positions 338 to 795 of the family's 1533-position model. The record is from RNAcentral.